ACAAUGAAAUUGGCUGAACCAAAGAUCAGGAAGCACUGGCAGCAGGUGGAGCUGGGGUUGGGUUGAAUGCUUUCUGCUCAGCACAGCUUAGCUCCUCGUGUGGCCCUGCUUCCUCUCGCCCAACACCUAGUAAGUCAAGGUAAUGAAGGUAAUGGGAGAUGAUGAUGUUCAUGGGAUCGAUAUCGCCUUGCCCGCAAGUGUAAUCUCCGUAGAGAACGUUCAUGGUGGAGCCAAAAGUAGGACCCCGUUUUUCCUCUGUGUCAUUCUUGGUUGGUUUCCAGUUACCCACGAAAAUGUCGUGUGCUGAAGGUUGGUUCUUCUUGAUUGGGGUCAUCCACCUCCAGAUGGCAGCCUGGAAGGCAAUAGUUGCGUUCUGCUCGAGAUACUCAGGGUGGUGCAACAAAUCAACUUUUAUACCAUCGCCAGCAGCUCCAUAGUUGUAGUUCCUACAAUCGUAAAGCCACUAGUAGUACUCAGCGGUCAAAAACUAUUAAUACAACUACAAAUCAACUCAAACACCUAGCACAAACAUCCUAUGUUAUACACAGAGAUGCACACACACACACACAUACAUAUGCAUCCUACAAGUUUCCCAAAAGAUGCACGUAAACUUGAACAGACACAUAGGUCAUUGAUCCAAAAACAAAAGGCACAGAUGAACUUGAACAGACACAUUACUACUAUAUUACAUGGACUCAGUAUGAGUGUCAAACACGGAUAUACAACCGACAGGGAUAUGCUGAAGUUUCUCCAAGAUUCCUAUGUUUUUUGAGUUAUCGGAGGAUCGUAUCUUAUAUCCAUAUCUAGAGAUAUACAAUGGAGCCGGACAUUGUUAUUUCAAGAAAGGUUGAAUCGUUUAAUCAGAACAGUUACUCGAACAGGCAAUUCAAAACUUAAUCAGUGACAACAACAAAGUGCAGAUGAAAAAAAUUGAAUAAACGUUUCAAUCCUAACCAGAAAAGGUACUAUACGAAC
Molecule: long non-coding RNA, 975 nt
Filed under: Gossypium barbadense (sea-island cotton)
Lineage: Eukaryota; Viridiplantae; Streptophyta; Magnoliopsida; Malvales; Malvaceae
Description: long non-coding RNA (GBAR_LNC019611)
Source: RNAcentral